Gasterosteus aculeatus aculeatus (three-spined stickleback) is the source of this 1123-nucleotide long non-coding RNA. The record is from Ensembl. NCBI's taxonomy places the organism in Eukaryota, Metazoa, Chordata, Actinopteri, Perciformes, Gasterosteidae.
GAAAUCACGGGGCUGCAGUAGAGAUGGUGGUUUUCUGUACUUGCACCAUCCUACUGUGACAAAAGUUACCCGCAGCAGAUUUGACUGACACUGUCGGACUCCCCCUGCCUCUAGGACCAUAGAUAACAAAAUUGGCUCCUGUUUCUCUGGCUAAAUUCGGGCUGACCAGUUAUCCGCUGAACAAAAACAGAUCAGAGAAGCUCAACUGUUUCCACUGAAGAUCCACAUCUAUCUCUGGAGAAGUUCUCUCGGGCAAACAUCGAGGGGCAACGAUCGCUGUAAGCAAACGGAAAAAAGCAACAUAAAGAGUGAGCCGAAAGGUUUGUUUGAAGAAAGGAUCAGAAAAAAAAACUGAUCCAAUCCAGACGCGAUCGGUGGACAGCGGGGAUGUGCGGUGUGGGUGGUACUGGGAGAGCUGAACUGGAGUGCAGCGUCCUGGAGGAGGACUGGCAGACAGGACAGAGCUACAUGGCUCACUGGCACAGCCUCACCCUCGUUCCACAGCAUCCCCACAGGACAGUGAUGGAGGCGGAGAGCUCGGAUAAACACUGGGAGGCCAGGAGGCUCCUGCGGAGAUUCCUCUCGGGGGCCAUCAGCAGGAAUUACACACAUCCCAAAACGCACCUGACCAGAAGACCCCAUCAGCUCAUCUCAGACCCUUCCACCAUGGGGCCGAAGGUGCAGCGAGGUCCAGCUCAUAUACAGAAGGAAGAAUAUUGUGCGACCACAAGAGCAAAGGGUGUCAGAGACGAGUGAGAGAGGAAGAGUGUGGUGAAGAUUCCUGGUAUAAAAGUUAUGUCUUGAUAAACAAGAUACAAAAUAUUCUUGUGUACCAUGUUGUCAGAUUGAUUCGUAAUAGAUUGUGUUUGUGACGAACCUUUUGGGUAAAAGCAUGUGGGAUAAUAAAAAAUUGUAACUGUUGCAGAGAGAUUGAAUCAUUAGCAUGAAAAUAAUUUAGAUCAAUGCUCACAAUGAUUAAUGUUUUUGGUACUUUCAGGCAAUUGUUUUGGAAUGUGAGUUGUAUCUUUAUUAUCUUUGUGUACUGUAAAGAAGACUGAGGUUAAAAAUGUCCAUGUAUGUAUUUCAUUAUUCUAAUAAAUCACUUUGCUGUCCAUCUGAACAU